RNAcentral lists this ribosomal RNA (456 nucleotides) under uncultured bacterium. RNAcentral describes it as "bacterial SSU rRNA". It matches the Rfam family "Bacterial small subunit ribosomal RNA", at positions 340 to 786 of the family's 1533-position model. The record is from RNAcentral.
UACGGAAGGCAGCAGUGGGGAAUAUUGCACAAUGGGCGAAAGCCUGAUGCAGCUAUGCCGCGUGUAUGAAGAAGGCCUUAGGGUUGUAAAGUACUUUCAUCGGGGAGGAAAAAACAAAACUAAUAAUUUUAUUUCUUGACGUUACCCGAAAAAGAAGCACCGGCUAACUCCGUGCCAGCAGCCGCGGUAAUACGGAGGGUGCUAGCGUUAAUCAGAAUUACUGGGCGUAAAGAGCACGUAGGUGGUUUUUUUAAGUUCAGAUGUGAAAUCCCUGGGCUUAACCUGGAACUGCAUUUUGAAACUGAAAUACUAGAGUAUCGUAGAGGGAGGUAGAAUUCUAGGUGUAGCGGUGAAAUGCGUAGAUAUCUGGAGGAAUACCUGUGGCGAAAGCGGCCUCCUAAACGAAUACUGACACUGAGGUGCGAAAGCGUGGGGAGCAAACAGGGAUUAGAUACC